AGAGUUUGAUCCUGGCUCAGAGUGAACGCUGGCGGCAGGCCUAACACAUGCAAGUCGAACGGCAGCACAGCAGUAGCAAUACUGUGGGUGGCGAGUGGCGGACGGGUGAGGAAUGCGUCGGAAUCUGCCUUUUUGUGGGGGAUAACGUAGGGAAACUUACGCUAAUACCGCAUACGACCUACGGGUGAAAGUGGGGGACCUUCGGGCCUCACGCAGAAAGAUGAGCCGACGCCGGAUUAGCUAGUUGGCGGGGUAAAGGCCCACCAAGGCGACGAUCCGUGGCUGGUCUGAGAGGAUGAUCAGCCACACUGGGACUGAGACACGGCCCAGACUCCUACGGGAGGCAGCAGUGGGGAAUAUUGGACAAUGGGCGCAAGCCUGAUCCAGCCAUGCCGCGUGUGUGAAGAAGGCCUUCGGGUUGUAAAGCACUUUUGUCCGGAAAGAAAAGCUUCGGGUUAAUAACCUGGAGUCAUGACGGUACCG
RNAcentral lists this ribosomal RNA (483 nucleotides) under uncultured bacterium. RNAcentral describes it as "bacterial SSU rRNA". It matches the Rfam family "Bacterial small subunit ribosomal RNA", at positions 8 to 480 of the family's 1533-position model. The record is from RNAcentral.